Molecule: unclassified non-coding RNA, 377 nt
Filed under: uncultured bacterium
Lineage: Bacteria
Description: contains 16S-23S intergenic spacer region
Source: RNAcentral
UCCGGUUUGUCACCGGCAGUCUCGCAUGAGUCCCCAACUUCACUCGCUGGCAACUGGGAGCGGGGGUUGCGCUCGUUGCGGGACUUAACCCAACAUCUCACGACACGAGCUGACGACAGCCAUGCACCACCUGUGAUCCUGCCCACAAGGGGAAACCGUGUUUCCACGGCGGUCAGGAACAUGUCAAACCCAGGUAAGGUUCUUCGCGUUGCGUCGAAUUAAACCACAUGCUCCGCUGCUUGUGCGGGUCCCCGUCAAUUCCUUUGAGUUUUAACCUUGCGGCCGUACUCCCCAGGCGGUCAACUUCACGCGUUAGCUACGGUACCAAGGAAUCGCUUCCCCAACACCCAGUUGACAUCGUUUAGGGCGUGGACUAC